UAGUUCAGACCGUAAACGAUGCCAUCUGGCGAUCCACCGGCGUUAUGUAUGACUCGGUGGGCAGCCACCGGUAAACCUUUAAGUCAGGUUCCGGGGGAAGUAUGGUUGCAAAGCUGAAACUUAAAGGAAUUGACGGAAGGGCACCACCAGGAGUGGAGCCUGCGGCUUAAUUUGACUCAACACGGGGAAACUCACCCGGCCCGGACACCGUAAGGAUUGACAGAUUGAUAGCUCUUUCUUGAUUCGGUGGGUGGUGGUGCAUGGCCGUUCUUAGUUGGUGGAGCGAUUUGUCUGGUUUAUUCCGAUAACGAACGAGACUCUAGCCUACUAAAUAGACAGUACUUCCUUAGAGUGCUGCGCUUCUUAGAGGGACAAGCGACUUCUAGUCGCACGAGAUUGAGCAAUAACAGGUCUGUGAUGCCCUUAGAUGUUCGGGGCUGCACGCGCGCUACACUGAAGGCAUCAUCAUGUCUAUCAACCUACCCCGGAAGGGGCGGGUAACCCGAUGAAACGCCUUCGUGAUUGGGAUAGGGAAUUGCAAUUAUUUCCCUUGAACGAGGAAUUCCCAGUAAGUGCGGGUCAUCAGCUCGCGCUGAUUACGUCCCUGCCCUUUGUACACACCGCCCGUCGCUACUACCGAUUGAGUGACUCCUAAAGGAGUUCGGACUGGGCCCUGUGCGGUCGCAAGACUGCGCAGGUUGCUUGGAAAGUUCUCCAAUGGGAUUUACUUAGAGGAAGUAAAAGUCGUAACAAGGUCUCCGUAGGUGAACCUGCGGAGGGAUCAUUACCUAUUCGACGAAAGUCGUCUAACAUUGGGCGAAGCACAGACGGACGUGGGGUAGCGCUUCUGCGUGAGUCCCUGUUUGUGCGACGCUAACGAGGCUGCGUCUGUGAUUGGCGAUGCUUAGACGGGACUGUGGUGGGGUCUCUGAUUCGCUAAGCUCGCUGGGCCGGCAGUCUCCUUAUGGGUUUCUUUACUGUUUGGUACCUGCGUUACUGAGUGGCUCGCGAUUUACCCGGUCGCAUGAUUGGGCCCAGUAACAAACUGUUGGUUGCGACCGACAGAUUGGUCCGCCUUUGAGACCGCUUGCUUGCUUGUCUGUUUCGGGCUUUGGCCUGCGAUUUUAAACAGACAGCCGAUUCUGCAAGCGCCUUGAAGUAGGAGUGACUGGUCUGUUCAAAGCUGACAGGAGGUUUAAAGAGCUGCCUGUUGGGAACGAAGUACUGUUCUCGGUAACCGCCUACUAGCCAGGUCUGGUUGGUAGAAUCGAACGCUGACUGUGCGUUCGUAGGUUAGCCACCCCGUGCGCUGACUGUGCGCCAAGGUAGCCGCCCGACAUCCCUUUAACUUCAUACAAGACUUAAGACCGGUACCUAUGCCGGCUCGGUUGUACGGCGUUCGACUGACUCUAGCGUCUAACGAUGCUUGUCGAACGUGCAGUCCUGACUCACCGAGCGGUGAACCGUCCUCUGCGGCUAAACGGCUCGGAGAUUGGGCAAGCUGUCAACUGUGUUGCUCCUUGGAGCGCGAUUCACCAGUUGACUGACUCCGCUUUCCAGUCUCGGACUUCGAACCGUUAGUUGGAGCGUGGCGGGUGGUUUAAAGAGUUGCUUGGUUCGCUUUCAAGUCGUCGCUCGUCGUGCCUUGCCAGCCGACGAAAUCACCGAACGGUGUAGGCGAGUUGUUGGCGCGACUCAGCCAGGCAACCGCCGGCAUUCCCUUUAACUUCUUGAAAACUUGCGUUCGCAGCUGUC
This 1755-nucleotide ribosomal RNA is filed under the name Trichodorus obtusus. Its description in RNAcentral is "bacterial SSU rRNA". The stretch from base 1 to 787 matches the Rfam family "Eukaryotic small subunit ribosomal RNA", at positions 1021 to 1831 of the family's 1831-position model. The record is from RNAcentral. Lineage: Eukaryota; Metazoa; Nematoda; Enoplea; Triplonchida; Trichodoridae.